This 253-nucleotide ribosomal RNA is filed under the name uncultured bacterium. RNAcentral's name for it is "partial 16S ribosomal RNA". It matches the Rfam family "Bacterial small subunit ribosomal RNA", at positions 524 to 776 of the family's 1533-position model. The record is from RNAcentral.
UACGGGGGGGGUAAGCGUUGUUCGGAAUUACUGGGCGUAAAGGGCGCGUAGGUGGCCUUUUGAGUCAGACGUGAAAUCCCCCGGCUUAACCUGGGAACUGCGUCUGAUACUGGAAGGCUUGAGUUCGGGAGAGGGAUGUGGAAUUCCAGGUGUAGCGGUGAAAUGCGUAGAUAUCUGGAGGAACACCGGUGGCGAAGGCGGCAUCCUGGACCGAAACUGACACUGAGGCGCGAAAGCCAGGGGAGCAAACGGG